UACGGAGGGUGCGAGCGUUGUCCGGAAUCACUGGGCGUAAAGGGCGCGUAGGCGGCGCGGGAAGUCCGUGGUGAAAGCCCGAGGCUCAACUUCGGGUCGGCCAUGGAUACUCCUGGGCUCGAGCACUGUAGAGGCAGGUGGAAUUCCGGGUGUAGCGGUGGAAUGCGUAGAUAUCAGGAGGAACACCAAUGGCGAAGGCAGCUCGCUGGGACGGUACUGACGCUGAGGCGCGAAAGCGUGGGGAGCAAACAGG
RNAcentral lists this ribosomal RNA (253 nucleotides) under uncultured bacterium. RNAcentral's name for it is "partial 16S ribosomal RNA". It matches the Rfam family "Bacterial small subunit ribosomal RNA", at positions 524 to 776 of the family's 1533-position model. The record is from RNAcentral.